UAAAGCAGCAAGCCAAAACUGAAAGCAACGGUUAAGGCUUUGUCACUUCCUGUGAUGGUACAAGCCGGAGGCUAACGCAGAGAAGAGGCCCACUGCCCGAUUCCAUUUUCCACCACAAAAGGUGCACUCUGUAGAGGGUGACCUAGGUUAGCAUAGACGAAGGAGUGGUCUCACUGCUGAGGGAGAUGGGAAUAAAAGGCCCUUGCAGUUUUUCGGGGGAGGAAGGCUGGGGAAGAGGAAGGAGGACCUUGGGUGAAAAAGUGCUGAGAAUUGAGUCAGAGUUGAGAAAAGUGUCUCAAGACUUCCCCUCCUUGCCCUGACAAAGAGGUCUCAGCAGAGGUGCCUGAGGAAAGCCCCAAAUAAAGAGGCUUCGGAGUGGAAAUGCCCGGAUUGGUUAUUGGUUAUUUGCAUCAGCAGAAUCCCUGAUCGAUGUUCUUCACAUUAAAAGUGUGAUCUGAAGACAAGCAGAAUGUGCACCAACAGUGACCUCAUUAUAAAUACAGACUUUCAUGCUCUACUCCAGACCACUUAAAUCUUAACGAGAUGCUCAGGGGAUUCCUGUGCCCAGGAAAGUUUAAGACUCCGUGGUCUCCAUGCCUUCUAGAUGCAGUGUCAGAACUGCACAGUCUGCUCUGGGUGUGGGGUCUGAUCACAUCCCUUAGCACUGGGGGGUCCAGGGUUCAGUCCUUGCUCCUUUCUCUUCUAUUGUAAUCACUCCUUUGGUGACCUCACCUGUUCUCAAGGAUUUAAACAUAAUUUAGGUAGUGUCACCUCCUGUGAUAAUGUGAUUUAUAAUAAGAAAUAUAGCUUUGGUAUUAGUCCCCAUUCCAGGUACAGAGCUCCUAAAACCCUUGGAAUUUCCUAAGUGUUGAGAGGGAAGAAGCUGUCCUUUGCUAUGUUAAUGAGUGACUUUGAGAAUGCCCCCAGGUAACCUAAGGAUGAGACUUGGUUGCCCAGGAAACCAUCACUAUGAUUAGAGGGUUGGAACUUUCAGUUUCACUCCCCUACACACUACCCCCAAGACCAUUUGGGAAGGGAGAGGGGCUGGAAACAGAGCCCAAUCACCAAUGGCAUGUGAUUUAAUCAAUCAUGCCUUUGUUGGGAAUCGUCUACGAAAACCCAAACGGACAGAGUUCAGAGAGCAUCCAGAUUGGUGAACACAUGGAGAUUCAGAGAAAGCAGCACACCUGGAGAGGGCAUGGAGGCCCCACACCUUUUCCCCAUACCUUGCCCUAUGCAUCCCUUCCAUCUGGCUGUUCCUGAGACAUAUCCUUUUCUCACAAACUUGUAAUCUAGUAAGUAAGUGUUGCUCUGAGUUCUGUGAGCUGCUCUAGCAAAUUAACCUAACUCAAGGAGGUUGUUAGAACCUCUGAUCUACAGCCAGUUGGUCAGAAGCCCAGGUGACAACCUGGACUUGUGAUUGGCAUCUAAGCUGUAGAGAGGUGUGCAGUCUUGUAGGACUGAACCCUUAACCUGUGGGAUCUGAUGCUAUCUCCAGGUAGAUAGUGUCAGAAUUGAUUUGAAUUGUAGGACACCCAACUGGUAUUGGAGAAUUUCUUGGUAGUGUGGGAGAAAAUACAAAUUGGAAUUGGGUGCAGAGUUAGACCUCCCAAAUCUAUUUUUCCAGCUCAUAUAUUUGUCCUAAAUCAUAGAUUCAUAUGUCCAACUGACUACCCAACAACCUCAUCUGCAUUUCUAAUGGACAUCUCAGAUUAAACAUCUCUUAAACUGAACGCCUGUGAUGCUCCCUCCUCAAAUAUGCUUCUUCCAGAAUCUCCCUGAUAUCUGCUAUAGCAACUCCAUCUUUCUACUUGCACAGUCCGAAACUUUGGUUAUGCUCCUUGACUCCUCCUUCCCAUACUCCAGAUUUAAUCAAGUAGGAAAUGUAUAAGUCCAUCUUCAAAAUGUAUCCAGAACCAAUCACUUCCACUAUUUCCACUGCUCACACCCCAGGCAAAGCAACCAAGAUCUCUAGCCUAAAACACUCCAUGAAUUUUCUAGUUUUCCCUGCUACCUCACUUACCCUUCACCUGUGGAUUCUGUUCUUAGCACAGCAGCCAGGGCGAUCCUUUUAAAAGAGAAGUCAUACCAUGUCUCUCUUCUGCUCAAAGCUGUUUGGCAACUUCCCAUCCCACACAGAAAAGUCAAACCCUCACAGUAUCUUCACUGCCUAUAUGGUCUGGCCAUACCUCUAACCUCAUCUCAGUUACUCUCUGCUCCAGCCAUACCAGCCUCCUACCUCUUGCAAGAAUACACAGAAAAACUCCCACCUUAGUGCAUUCACACUGGAGCUUCCCUUUCCUGGAAAGAACUUUCCCCGGACAUCCUUGUGCUUAUAGUACAUAGUCUGUCUCUUCCAACUACAACAUAUGCUCCACAAGGCCAACAACAUCUGUCUGUUUUUACUUCAAUGAUGUUCCCCAGAAGCAAAAGUAGUAUGUCAUAUACCCAGCACUCAACAAAUAUCAGGUGAAUGAAUGAUUAGUGUAAAGCAGCUCCCUGUUCUAGAGACAGUAUCUUUAUUAACAUAGCUUCAGAUCAAAUGCUGUUUUGUAGCAGCUACAGCACAUCAUCCAUUCAUAUUGCCAUCAAUGCCACCUGUACUUUUAUCACAAGUGCUGCUCUCCCCUCCUCCCCAUAGCCCCCACUUCUGACACUAGCCCUUCUGCACACAACAGCACACAAUUUAAUUUCUCUCUUCAAAAAAGAACAGAGGAGAGUGAUGUCAGCAUCAUGGUAGAGUGAGUUGUUCCCUUUGUCUCUCCCCUCUAAGUUACAGCUAAAUGGACAUUCAUUAACCAACAGAAGAUUCCCUACACAGCACAAUAGGAUGUCUGGGAGAUCCACACUGCAUACGUCUGAAGAUAGGAGGACUGGAUCCCUGGGAAGCAGUGAAACUAGGUUGAGGGAGAGGAUGGAAAAAGCAAUCCAGGGAAAAGCCUAAGAAGGAGGACAAGAAGUCGCUGACUCUGAAAAUUCAUCUCUCCAUACCAGAGGGACUCCUGUUUGCAGGGCCUGCCCUGAGCACUGUGGGGACAAUGACAGCCAAAACGACUCCUGCUGCUGUCAGAGAUGGGGACACCCAAAGGAGAAUGAGACCAGAACUUGCAACGAGAAGAAAAGGCAUAAUCCUCAAAUGAAACAAGAAAAAAGUUAAAUUCACAAAUUGAGGCCCGAGGGCUGGGGACCUAGGCCUGAGCCUAGGCUGACCCAGCCCCAUGAAGGCCCUGCUGUCCACCAUCUUGGAGACAGGACAAGGCCCAGGUGAUGUCCCAGUCCCUGUGAUCACAGGUCCUGGUGGGACAAGGUUCUAUUGAAGGGACAAGGACAAAAGAGCAGAGAGAUGACCCAGCCGAGGAGUGACCACAUCAAAAUCCAUGAUGCAGAGAGCACUGACUGGACACAGGCCCUGUCCAUGCUUGGCUCCACACAGUCUUUUCCUGUCCCUGCCUGCAACAGACUCAGCACAGCAAACAUGGAUUCUGGAAGGUU
Non-coding RNA from Equus caballus (horse), 3492 nucleotides. The record is from RefSeq and is a predicted model, not a curated record. NCBI's taxonomy places the organism in Eukaryota, Metazoa, Chordata, Mammalia, Perissodactyla, Equidae.